UAACGAACGCUGGCGGCAGGCUUAACACAUGCAAGUCGAACGCCCCGCAAGGGGAGUGGCAGACGGGUGAGUAACGCGUGGGAAUCUACCCAAUUCUUCGGAACAACUGAGGGAAACUUCAGCUAAUACCGGAUACGCCCUACGGGGAAAGGAUUUAUCGGAAUUGGAUGAGCCCGCGUUGGAUUAGCUAGUUGGUGAGGUAAUGGCUCACCAAGGCGACGAUCCAUAGCUGGUCUGAGAGGAUGAUCAGCCACACUGGGACUGAGACACGGCCCACGACUCCUACGGGAGGCAGCAGUGGGGAAGUAUUGGACAAUGGGCGCAAGCCUGAUCCAGCCAUGCCGCGUGAGUGAUGAAGGCC
This 361-nucleotide ribosomal RNA is filed under the name uncultured bacterium. RNAcentral describes it as "bacterial SSU rRNA". It matches the Rfam family "Bacterial small subunit ribosomal RNA", at positions 29 to 416 of the family's 1533-position model. The record is from RNAcentral.